Molecule: non-coding RNA, 153 nt
Filed under: Antarctobacter heliothermus
Lineage: Bacteria; Pseudomonadati; Pseudomonadota; Alphaproteobacteria; Rhodobacterales; Roseobacteraceae
Description: Ruegeria cis2 sRNA
Rfam family: Ruegeria cis2 sRNA
About the family: Cis-encoded. Targets ABC transporter. Functions in transport.
Source: Rfam by way of RNAcentral
GUCAGAAUUCCGGGGGUUGUAAUCUACAAAAGCGUACCCGCGCGACUGGUCGAUGGUAUGGAACAGGGGAUUCCAAUCGAACAUGGCCAGCAUGGAACUGGGCAGUGUAUUGGCAACGAACAUCUUGCCCGAGGCGAUCAUGUUGGCCCGUUG